RNAcentral lists this ribosomal RNA (120 nucleotides) under uncultured bacterium. RNAcentral's name for it is "partial 16S ribosomal RNA". It matches the Rfam family "Bacterial small subunit ribosomal RNA", at positions 30 to 145 of the family's 1533-position model. The record is from RNAcentral.
AUUGAACGCUGGCGGCAGGCCUAACACAUGCAAGUCGAGCGGCAGCACGGGUACUUGUACCUGGUGGCGAGCGGCGGACGGGUGAGUAAUGCCUAGGAAUCUGCCUGGUAGUGGGGGAUA